Molecule: ribosomal RNA, 483 nt
Filed under: uncultured bacterium
Lineage: Bacteria
Description: partial 16S ribosomal RNA
Rfam family: Bacterial small subunit ribosomal RNA
Source: RNAcentral
AUUGAACGCUGGCGGCAUGCUUUACACAUGCAAGUCGAACGGUAACAGGGAGCUUGCUCCGCUGACGAGUGGCGAACGGGUGAGUAAUAUAUCGGAACGUACCCAAGAGUGGGGGAUAACGUAGCGAAAGUUACGCUAAUACCGCAUACGAUCUAUGGAUGAAAGCAGGGGACCUUCGGGCCUUGUGCUCCUGGAGCGGCCGAUAUCUGAUUAGCUAGUUGGUGAGGUAAAGGCUCACCAAGGCGACGAUCAGUAGCUGGUCUGAGAGGACGACCAGCCACACUGGAACUGAGACACGGUCCAGACUCCUACGGGAGGCAGCAGUGGGGAAUUUUGGACAAUGGGCGCAAGCCUGAUCCAGCAAUGCCGCGUGAGUGAAGAAGGCCUUCGGGUUGUAAAGCUCUUUUGUCAGGGAAGAAACGGCUGUGGCUAAUAUCCACGGCUAAUGACGGUACCUGAAGAAUAAGCACCGGCUAACUACGU